RNAcentral lists this ribosomal RNA (700 nucleotides) under uncultured Coxiella sp. RNAcentral describes it as "bacterial SSU rRNA". It matches the Rfam family "Bacterial small subunit ribosomal RNA", at positions 115 to 822 of the family's 1533-position model. The record is from RNAcentral. Lineage: Bacteria; Pseudomonadati; Pseudomonadota; Gammaproteobacteria; Legionellales; Coxiellaceae.
UCGUAGGAAAUCUACCUUAUAGAGGGGGAUAACCUGGGGAAACUCGGGCUAAUACCGCAUAAUCUCUUUGGAGCAAAGCGGGGGAUCUUCGGACCUCGUGCUAUAAGAUGAGCCUACGUCGGAUUAGCUUGUUGGUGGGGUAAUGGCCUACCAAGGCGACGAUCCGUAGCUGGUCUGAGAGGACGAUCAGCCACACUGGGACUGAGACACGGCCCAGACUCCUACGGGAGGCAGCAGUGGGGAAUAUUGGACAAUGGGGGAAACCCUGAUCCAGCAAUGCCGCGUGUGUGAAGAAGGCCUUCGGGUUGUAAAGCACUUUCGGUGGGGAAGAAAAUAUCCUUGGGCGUUGACGUUACCCACAGAAGAAGCACUGGCUAACUCUGUGCCAGCAGCCGCGGUAAUACAGAGAGUGCAAGCGUUAAUCGGAAUCACUGGGCGUAAAGCGCGCGUAGGUGGAUAUUUAAGUCGGAUGUGAAAGCCCUGGGCUUAACCUGGGAAUUGCACCCGAUACUGGGUAUCUUGAGUAUGGUAGAGGGAAGUGGAAUUUCCGGUGUAGCGGUGAAAUGCGUAGAUAUCGGAAAGAACACCAGUGGCGAAGGCGACUUCCUGGACCAAUACUGACACUGAGGCGCGAAAGCGUGGGGAGCAAACAGGAUUAGAGACCCUGGUAGUCCACGCCGUCAACGAUGAGAACUAGCUG